CAGCACAGCUGCUACCCAAGUCAAACAGCCCAAGUCACUUUUCAUUCUCCAGCAAACAAGUAUGGAUAGUGUCGUGGUACGUUACAAAAGAAACUGUACAGAAGAUCAUCUCAACACAAAGGAUCCUGGGGGGAUAGGAAACCACGGACAAGGUGACAUGGAGGCGAUCAGUGCCAAGCGGAUUGGAUGCUGAGCACAGGGUGAAGAUGAUGAAGACCUAAUGAUGAUCCACUUCCACAUAAUAAACAGUAAUUAUCAUGCUGUAAAGUUAAUGAACUUAAUGUAUUGUGCAUGUGUGUUUGUGUGAAAAGCCAAUAACUACACAGUGAGAACUGUAGGAGAUGUUUUUCUAUCAUUACUGCCUCAGUAUUCAUUAUGUAGAACAUCAUGUGCAAGACAUGCAUGGAAGUAGACCGCAUCUUCUAAUAUAGGCAUACAGUCCUUGCCAUACAGCAUGCGUCUCUCUCGUAAUUGGAGAAACGACAUUAUCAACCUGUUAUUGUAGGUAAGUGUUUUUUUUUAAGAUACAAUGUUUCCAAUAUUGUAUUAUGAGGACUAAUACUGUAUGCCAUAAAAAUUUUAUAAUGAUUCAUUCAUUGUGUAUAGGGUAGGCU
This is a long non-coding RNA of Panthera uncia (snow leopard), 614 nucleotides long. RefSeq lists it as uncharacterized. The record is from RefSeq and is a predicted model, not a curated record. The transcript has 4 exons. Lineage: Eukaryota; Metazoa; Chordata; Mammalia; Carnivora; Felidae.